GUGGGGAAUUUUGGACAAUGGGCGCAAGCCUGAUCCAGCCAUGCCGCGUGCAGGAAGAAGGCCUUCGGGUUGUAAACUGCUUUUGUACGGAACGAAACGGUCCUGGUUAAUACCCGGGGCUAAUGACGGUACCGUAAGAAUAAGCACCGGCUAACUACGUGCCAGCAGCCGCGGUAAUACGUAGGGUGCAAGCGUUAAUCGGAAUUACUGGGCGUAAAGCGUGCGCAGGCGGUGCUGUAAGACAGGCGUGAAAUCCCCGGGCUUAACCUGGGAAUUGCGCUUGGGACUGCAGUGCUGGAGUGCGGCAGAGGGGGAUGGAAUUCCGCGUGUAGCAGUGAAAUGCGUAGAUAUGCGGAGGAACACCGAUGGCGAAGGCAAUCCCCUGGGCCUGCACUGACGCUCAUGCACGAAAGCGUGGGGAGCAAACAGGAUUAGAUACCCGGGUAGUCC
This 450-nucleotide ribosomal RNA is filed under the name uncultured bacterium. Its description in RNAcentral is "partial 16S ribosomal RNA". It matches the Rfam family "Bacterial small subunit ribosomal RNA", at positions 354 to 796 of the family's 1533-position model. The record is from RNAcentral.